RNAcentral lists this long non-coding RNA (501 nucleotides) under Homo sapiens (human). Its description in RNAcentral is "non-protein coding lnc-DMAC1-4:2". The record is from RNAcentral. Lineage: Eukaryota; Metazoa; Chordata; Mammalia; Primates; Hominidae.
GAAAUUCCUUUUCCAGAGUUCUCACUUACUAAUUUGGCUAACAUUACCAAUGGUAACAGACCCCACGUAUCCGCCACAAUUGCUGUGAGUUGCAGAGGAAAAAGACUGGGAGGAAAUCUUCACUUUUCUUCUGCAACAGCAACCAACAGAAAUGAAAGAGCCAGGGGAUUUUGCAAAAUAUCAACUCCUGAGAACUAAGAAUGAGAGCCUUUCCUGCCAAGCCCAUUCUGUGCCAGUCAUCAUAAAAUACUAUGACCCUUCCUUCCAGAAGAACAAUGCGCUGUGAUCUUUGGCUACUCAAGCUUUACAUCAUCCAUAUUACCCUGCAGCAGGAACAGAUUGAUGGGUAUUUUCACUGCCCCCAGAGAGUUACCCUCUAAUCCUUCAUUUGCUGCUCCAGCACAAUUGCACGGAAGCAAUAGCAGGGAUAGUUAGAGUGCAUACAAUUGAUUCCAAUCCAUCCAUCACUUAAACUACUGUCUAGGACAUCAGGAGGCCACA